AGAGUUUGAUCCUGGCUCAGAGCGAACGCUGGCGGCAGGCUUAACACAUGCAAGUCGAGCGGGCGUAGCAAUACGUCAGCGGCAGACGGGUGAGUAACGCGUGGGAACGUACCUUUUGGUUCGGAACAACACAGGGAAACUUGUGCUAAUACCGGGUAAGCCCUUACGGGGAAAGAUUUAUCGCCGAAAGAUCGGCCCGCGUCUGAUUAGCUAGUUGGUGAGGUAAUGGCUCACCAAGGCGACGAUCAGUAGCUGGUCUGAGAGGAUGAUCAGCCACAUUGGGACUGAGACACGGCCCAAACUCCUACGGGAGGCAGCAGUGGGGAAUAUUGGACAAUGGGGGCAACCCUGAUCCAGCCAUGCCGCGUGAGUGAUGAAGGCCCUAGGGUUGUAAAGCUCUUUUGUGC
This 407-nucleotide ribosomal RNA is filed under the name uncultured bacterium. RNAcentral describes it as "bacterial SSU rRNA". It matches the Rfam family "Bacterial small subunit ribosomal RNA", at positions 8 to 441 of the family's 1533-position model. The record is from RNAcentral.